AUGCAAGGAAGAAGAGUCCAAAGUAUCACCAGGAAAGAAUCUGCAAGGAAUAACCGAGAAGAAAAACUAACAUCUUGCAUCACAGAGAGUUGGCUUCCCCUUCAAACUCUUCCACCAACUUGGAGGGCACCAUCAUGGAAAAAUACAGGAUCCACAUUGCUGUGUCUGCUCAACACUGUUAAAUAUGACAAGAAUAGAAGUGGUUACUGGUACCAGAAGAAAACUGAAAUUCUACAAAUAUACAUCAGGAUCCCACUCUGUCCCACUAUCAUUUUCAGCUGGAGUGCCAUGGCCCGGUCUUGGCUCACUGCAACCUCCACCUCCCAGGUUCAAGUGAUUUUCCUGCAUCAGCCUCCUGAGUAG
This 363-nucleotide long non-coding RNA is filed under the name Callithrix jacchus (white-tufted-ear marmoset). RNAcentral's name for it is "lncRNA (ENSCJAG00000070579.1)". Lineage: Eukaryota; Metazoa; Chordata; Mammalia; Primates; Cebidae. The record is from RNAcentral.